This is an RNA transcript of Humulus lupulus (European hop), 1465 nucleotides long. RefSeq lists it as uncharacterized. The record is from RefSeq and is a predicted model, not a curated record. Lineage: Eukaryota; Viridiplantae; Streptophyta; Magnoliopsida; Rosales; Cannabaceae. The transcript has 8 exons.
CAUAUUGUUCUACUUGCAAAUUUUAUUGGCUGAUAGUGCUGCUAGAAAGCAGAAACAGGUGACGAUAACGAACACUACAGUCAGUUCGUCCGUACAUCAGUGGUGUGAAUGCAGGGAGUCGAAGCUUCGAACUACUUCUUUCCCCUAUGGAGUUCGACUCUGUGAUUGAAUUCUCUAAUGCUCCCGCUGUUUCUAAAGGUUGCGUUAACGACUGGGAAGCUUUCUCCAAGUGGAAGCCCUCCAAUUGUGAUCUCGACCAUUUGCUGGACCUUUUGUUGUGGAGGGGUAUGCUAUCUAAAUAUGUGUCCAUCUACGGUGAUCUUAGAAGCCAUGAGAGGGUGAUUUCAUGUUCCUUCCGUUGAUGACAUUGUAAGCUCUGGAAGCUCAUUUUCUGGGAUCUUGUUAGCCUCACAACUUACUUUCCCUGCACCUGUAUUUUUUGCUUUUUUGGCCUCCUUCUGCCAGUCCCAUGUUUUAUCCUAUGCCUAUAUCUAGGGAGGCAUCAAAUCACAGAAUGAAGUCCUAUGUAAAGCGUCGUCUGCAGAGAUACAGAAUAUGAAAAGGCAUACAUGUGCACUGAUUGGUAAUGAAACAGAUUGUAGCACCCGUGAAUUUGAUUAGCAUGUAGAAAAAUGGGUUUGAGAGGAAGAGAGCUGGAGCAGAGAACUAAGUUGAAUGAUCUGGAAUCAGAUGCCAUUCAGGCUCUUCACGAUUGGUUUCUUUAUUUCAUGGCCACAUGAGUACUGCUGAUUGUGGUGAAGUUAUGAACUUGUCAAUCUGGAUCAACAUGCAAUUCUGCUGUUAGUGUUGAAGUUGAAGCACAAUCUCCCAAGAACUCUGGAGGCUUUAAUACUUCACUUGCUUUCACCAAUAGCAGAAGUCCUUGAGGUGAAUUUGAUGAGCUAGAUCAACUGACCACUGAGGAAGAUCGGUAAAUGCUACUUUUCAUAAUUCAGAUGGAAAUUUUUCCCAUACAUAGUGACAAAGGAAAGGCAUCUCUUUGCUCUCAAUUUAUUGGUCAUCAAUUCAGAAACAAGUUCUACCAGGUUCUCUGUGGUGCCUUUUAUGACCAGUUUCCUGCAAUGAAUGCUAUUCUAAAUGGGAAAGAAUCAUUUGCACUCCAGGUAUUCAAGCUGGAAAAAUAUUUGGGAGUAAAUUUUGUUGGGUCUAUAAUUCCAGGGAUCAAAUAUUUGGCACACUACUUUAAGCAAAUUGGUCCCUCCAGAAUCUUAAGGUAGCAAAUCGAUGCAUAUUCACUGUAGAACCUUUUCUUCUCUUGCAAGAUAUUCUUGCAUGUGAUAUAUAUUCAUCAGUUUUUUUUUUUGGUAGAAUUAAAAUCAUCGCUAAUUUUGACUAGAGCUGUAAUGCUGUAUGAGUCGGAUGUCCACAUGUUAUGUUAUCUAAAUUAUAGAUGUAAAAAAUCUCUGUUCAGUUUUGAGAUCAAUUCUCUGCAUUCUCUCAGAAA